RNAcentral lists this transfer RNA (67 nucleotides) under marine eukaryotic metagenome. It matches the Rfam family "tRNA". From Rfam's summary of the family: Transfer RNA (tRNA) molecules are approximately 80 nucleotides in length. The record is from RNAcentral.
GGCAUAGCGCAGUCUGGUAGCGCACCUGCUUUGGGAGCAGGGGGUCGGGGGUUCGAAUCCCUCUGCC